AUGUCGCUUCCUCCAUCACAGUCGCCGCUGCCAAACACCACCGCCUCACCUACGCUGCCGCCAGCCCCGUCCGCGUCCAUGCCGGCGCUCAUGUCCGGGACGGCCACCCCGACAGCGCCGACCGCCACUGCGGCGGAGCCGCCCCCCAUCCUCUCGCCCGAGGAGGUCUCGGGUACCCUUCGGGAGCUCGUCCAGGCGGUCAAGGGCAUCAGCCUCUAUCUCGCCGGGAACCAGCCCCCGCCGCCGAGCGCCGCCACCACCGCCUACGGGCCGCCGCCGCUCCAGUGGCCCGCCCCGGCCUUCCAGUCGCCCUACGGCGGGCUGCCCCCGCCGCCGCUGCUGCAGCAGCACUACCCGGCCGCGGGGAACCCUUGGCCCGCGUGGCCGGCCGCCAUCGCACCGCUGGGGGACCCUUCCCAGCAGCUUCUCCAGGCGCCCCCGCCGGCUACUUCGACGCUGGCUGCGGCGCCGCAGCUCCACCAGGCGCCGCCACCGUCGACAACAUCACCACCCGUGCCCCGGCCCACUGGUCGGCCCCUGCACCAGGUGCAGUUUCCGCCAUCGCCAUCGCCAAUACCCGCGUGGGCGGCCGGCUCGUCUUCGGGCCUGGUGUAUACCACGGCGCCGGAGCACCCGACGCCUUCCCCCCGGUUUGACCGUCCCUCCGGCUCGGCGACCUACGCCCCGGAGAUUCUCGACCCGGCACACUCGCUGCCGCCGACUGCAGCAGCCCCCGGGCACGGCGGUCUGACACCCCCUCGCUUCGCCAAACUGGACUUCGCCACCUACGAGGGCACGGAGGACCCUCUCAACUGGCUCAACCAGUGCGAGCAGUUCUUUCGCGGACAACGGACGCUCGCUUCGGAUCGUACCUGGCUCGCGUCCUAUCAUCUCCGCGGCGCGGCGCAGACCUGGUACUACGCCCUCGAGCAGGACGAGGGCGGCAUGCCACCAUGGGAGCGCUUCUGGGAGCUCUGUCUUCUCCGGUUCGGGCCUCCUAUCCGCGGGAGCCGCCUGGCGGCCCUCGGCCGUUUACAGUUCACAUCCACGGUCCAGGACUACGCCGACCGCUUCCAGGCCCUGGCGUGCCACGCGCCGAGCGUCUCCGGGAUUCAGCGCGCCGAGUUAUUUGUGGGCGCUCUGCCGGACCAUAUUCGCGUGGACGUCGAGCUCCGGGAUCCCCCCGACCUCCAGACGGCCAUGUAG
This 1206-nucleotide ribosomal RNA is filed under the name Triticum aestivum (bread wheat). RNAcentral's name for it is "partial small subunit ribosomal RNA". The record is from RNAcentral. Lineage: Eukaryota; Viridiplantae; Streptophyta; Magnoliopsida; Poales; Poaceae.